UCAAGCUACAAAGAGCACAAGGGGAAUGCCUUGGCACCGAGAGCCGAAGAAGGACGUGACUAACUGCGAUAAGCUACGGGGAGCUGUAAGUGAGCGUUAUAUCCGUAGAUUUCCGAAUGGAGCAAUCCGAUUAGAGGAAAGUCUAAUCAUCAUAUACUGAAUACAUAGGUAUAUGAGGGGAACCGCCUGAACUGAAACAUCUAAGUAGGGCGAGGAAGAGAAAUCAACCGAGAUUCUGUGAGUAGUGGCGAGCGAAAGCGGAAGAGGCUAAACCAUAGGUAGCAAUACUUAUGGGGUUUCGGACAGCAUUUAGUAUUGAUAAUUUCUAGUUGAAACGUGUGGGAAAACGUACCGAGGAGUGUGAGAGUCACGUAAGCGAAAGAGAAAGUCAGCGAGCUGUAUCCAAAGUACCGCGGGACACGUGAAACCCCGUGGGAAGAUGGGGGGACCAUCCUCCAAGCCUAAAUACUACCUAAUGACCGAUAGCGAAUAGUACUGUGAAGGAACGGUGAAAAGAACCCCGGGAGGGGAGUGAAAAAGAACCUGAAACCCUAUGCUUACAAGCACCGAGAGCACGUCAAAGUGUGAUCGGGUACCUUUUGUAGAAUGGUCCGGCGAGUUAUUGUAUGCGGCAAGGUUAAGUGCUUAAGGCACGGAGCCGAAGCGAGAGCAAGUCUGAAUAGGGCGAAAGAGUCGUAUGCAAUAGACCCGAAACCGAGUGACCUAUCCAUGUCCAGGCUGAAGUGGAGGUAAAACUCCAUGGAGGGCCGAACACACGUCCGUUGAAAAGGCCGGUGAUGAGGUGUGGAUAGCGGAGAAAUUCCAAUCGAACUCGGAUAUAGCUGGUUCUCUCCGAAAUAGCUUUAGGGCUAGCCUCGUGAAAGAUUACUGGAGGUAAAGCACUGAAUGGGCUAGGGGUCGAAAGAUUACUGAACCCUAUCAAACUAAGAAUGCCAGAUAAUUGAUUCACGGGAGUCAGACAAUGUGAGAUAAGUCUCAUUGUCAAAAGGGAAACAGCCCAGACCCACAGCUAAGGUCCCUAAACAUUGUUAAGUGGAAAAGGAUGUGGGGUUGCAUAAACAACCAGGAUGUUGGCUUAGAAGCAGCCACUCAUUAAAAGAGUGCGUAAUAGCUCACUGGUCGAGUGAUUCUGCGCCGAAAAUUUAACGGGGCUAAAUUGUACACCGAAGCUUGGGAUACAUCUAAUGUAUGGUAGGAGAGCGUUGUAUACGGGGUGAAGUCAGAGCGGAAGCGCUGGUGGACUGUAUACAAGUGAGAAUGCCGGAAUGAGUAGCGAGAAUUAUGUGAGAAUCAUAAUGGCCGAAAAUCUAAGGUUUCCUGAGGAAGGUUCGUCCGCUCAGGGUAAGCCGGGGGCUAAGGCGAGGCGGAGACGCGUAGCCGAUGCACAUACGGUUGAAAUUCCGUAGCCACCGAAAGAUUUAAGUACAGGGACGCUUUAGAAGUGAUGUAGCCGGGCGAUGGUUGACCCGGUCGUAAGGGAUCGAAAAUGAGUAGAGAAGUCAUCAUGGAAAGAGACAAGAAAAGCUGUAUGAAUAUCUUAGGUGCCCGUACCGCAAACCGACACAGGUAGAUAGGAAGAAGAUUCUAAGGCCAACGGGAGAAGGGUUGUUAAGGAACUCGGCAAGUUGACCCCGUAACUUCGGAAUAAGGGGUGCUCAUGAAAGUGAGCCGCAGAGAAUAGGCCCAGGCAACUGUUUACCAAAAACACAGGUUUGUGCUAAAUCGAAAGAUGACGUAUACGAGCUGACGCCUGCCCGGUGCUGGAAGGUUAAGAGGAGAUGUGCAAGCAUUGAAUCGAAGCCCCAGUGAACGGCGGCCGUAACUAUAACGGUCCUAAGGUAGCGAAAUUCCUUGUCAGGUAAG
Molecule: ribosomal RNA, 1884 nt
Filed under: human gut metagenome
Description: bacterial LSU rRNA
Rfam family: Bacterial large subunit ribosomal RNA
Source: RNAcentral